AAAACAUGGCCUUUUGUUUAUAUAAAAGGUCUGACCUGCCCUAUGAUUUAAUAUUUAAUGGCUGCAGUAUUUUGACUGUACAAAGGUAGCAUAAUCAUUUGUCUUUUGAUUGAAGUCUGGAAUGAAUGGUUUGAUGAAAAAUAUACUUUCUUUAUUUUAUAUGAAAAAUUUAAUUUUUUAGUCAAAAAGCUAAAAUUUUUUUGUAGGACGAGAAGACCCUAUAGAACUUUAUUUUUAUUAUUUUUAUGAUUAGAUUAGGAAAUGUCUUGAUUAUAAAUUUAAGGAAAUUUUGUUGGGGUGACAGAAAAAAUUAAAUAACUUUUUCUAGUUUGUUCACUAUUAGUGAUUUUUUGAUCCUUUUUUAGGGAUAUAAGACUAAGUUACCUUAGGGAUAACAGCGUUAUUAUUUCAGAGAGUUCAUAUCGAUGAAAUAGUUUGCGACCUCGAUGUUGGAUUAUAAUAAGAUGUGGGAGUAGAAUAUUACACUCUAGGUCUGUUCGACCUUUAAAUUUUUACAUGAUCUGAG
RNAcentral lists this ribosomal RNA (526 nucleotides) under Orthotylini sp. WA0909msp016. Its description in RNAcentral is "partial 16S ribosomal RNA". It matches the Rfam family "Bacterial large subunit ribosomal RNA", at positions 1810 to 2609 of the family's 2925-position model. Lineage: Eukaryota; Metazoa; Arthropoda; Insecta; Hemiptera; Miridae. The record is from RNAcentral.